AGGGGUGUAGCUCAGUGGUAGAGCUCUUGCCUAGCAUGCACAAGGCUCUGGGUUCUAAUCUCCAGCAUUACUA
Molecule: transfer RNA, 73 nt
Filed under: Ictidomys tridecemlineatus (thirteen-lined ground squirrel)
Lineage: Eukaryota; Metazoa; Chordata; Mammalia; Rodentia; Sciuridae
Description: Spermophilus tridecemlineatus (thirteen-lined ground squirrel) tRNA
Rfam family: tRNA
About the family: Transfer RNA (tRNA) molecules are approximately 80 nucleotides in length. Their secondary structure includes four short double-helical elements and three loops (D, anti-codon, and T loops).
Source: Rfam by way of RNAcentral